This 656-nucleotide long non-coding RNA is filed under the name Phoenix dactylifera (date palm). Its description in RNAcentral is "long non-coding RNA (PDAC_LNC017682)". The record is from RNAcentral. Lineage: Eukaryota; Viridiplantae; Streptophyta; Magnoliopsida; Arecales; Arecaceae.
CAUAAAUCAAAUAGAACAUUGGAAUGUUGAAGUGAAGGAUCAGAAAGAAAAAUAUCUUGAAAUGCCAAAAUUAAAAUUUUCUAAUAAGUAUAGAGAUAUUUCAAAGUGACCAAAAUAUUAAAUUCAAAAAGCUUUGAUAUCACUGGUUGUUUUGUAUUUUCCUACAAGGGUUCACUAAUUACCCUACAAUGGUACCAUCUUGGAGUAGUGUCGGUAGAUAUGCCCGGGAUGGGAUGGGCUUGAUGUACCGAUACUCCGUACACCCCCUACUGCGUAACAGUUUGAUACCAAUAUAAUAAGGUAUGCCCCAAGGUUCGCCAUACCGGUACUGAACCCCGUACUGGUGCCGCACUAGCAUAGGCGUACCAAGUGUUGGUACGGUACGGUACGCGGUACGUCAGGCGUACCAUUAGCAUAGGCGUACCGAGUGUCGGUACAACAUACCAUGGUAUGCCCGAUAUGCACCAGUAUGGACUGGUAUGGCACACUAUGCUAAAACCAAUGUUUUAAAUCCCUUGAGAUGGGGUGUCCCAGUUUUUCAAGGAAUAGGAUGCCUUGCUAUCCCACCCCAUCCUGGCAGCGGUCUCGGUCAAACGUCUCAGUAAAUAUCCUCCGUCUCUCUCCCUUUCUUCUUCUUUUCUUUCUUUCUUCUUUCA